CGCAAGCCUGACGGAGCGACGCUGCGUGCGGGAAGAAGGCCUUCGGGUUGUAAACCGCUGUCAGGGGUUAUGAAAUCCGCGUGGAGAUAAUCCGCGUGGUUGACAAAGGCCCCAGAGGAAGCCAUGGCUAACUCCGUGCCAGCAGCCGCGGUAAGACGGAGAUGGCAAGCGUUGUUCGGAAUCACUGGGCGUAAAGGGCGCGCAGGCGGCAAGGCAAGUUGGAUGUGGAAACGCUCGGCUCAACUGAGCGAUUGCGUCCAAAACUGCCUGGCUAGAGCACGGUAGGGGAGAGUGGAACUCUUGGUGGAGCGGUGAAAUGCGUAGAUAUCAAGAGGAACGCCGGCGGCGAAGGCGACUCUCUGGGCCGUUGCUGACGCUGAGGCGCGAAAGCCAGGGUAGCG
This 401-nucleotide ribosomal RNA is filed under the name uncultured bacterium. Its description in RNAcentral is "bacterial SSU rRNA". It matches the Rfam family "Bacterial small subunit ribosomal RNA", at positions 376 to 770 of the family's 1533-position model. The record is from RNAcentral.